AGAAGCGGGGGAUAGGACGGUGCCCCGGCAACGGGGUGAAAAGGGAAUGCGGUGAGGGGAAGCCCGAAACCGCAGCUGCCCCCGCAACUGUGAGCGGCGAGUUCCUGCCGAGAGCCACCGGGGCGACCUGGGAAGGCGGCAGGCACGAUAUCAACCGCGAGCCAGGAGACCUGCCGUCCGGCGUGAAACAAG
RNAcentral lists this non-coding RNA (192 nucleotides) under Methylobacterium sp. Lineage: Bacteria; Pseudomonadati; Pseudomonadota; Alphaproteobacteria; Hyphomicrobiales; Methylobacteriaceae. The record is from RNAcentral.